RNAcentral lists this ribosomal RNA (253 nucleotides) under uncultured bacterium. Its description in RNAcentral is "partial 16S ribosomal RNA". It matches the Rfam family "Bacterial small subunit ribosomal RNA", at positions 524 to 776 of the family's 1533-position model. The record is from RNAcentral.
UACAGAGGUGGCAAGCGUUGUUCGGAAUUACUGGGCGUAGAGGGCGCGUAGGCGGCCUUCUAAGUCAGACGUGAAAUCCCCAGGCUUAACUUGGGAACUGCGUCUGAUACUGGAAGGCUUGAGUGCGGGAGAGGGAUGUGGAAUUCCAGGUGUAGCGGUGAAAUGCGUAGAUACCUGGAGGAACACCGGUGGCGAAGGCGGAUCUCUGGGCCAUUACUGACGCUGAUGCACGAAAGCUAGGGGAGCAAACAGG